This is a long non-coding RNA of Pseudophryne corroboree (corroboree frog), 478 nucleotides long. RefSeq lists it as uncharacterized. The record is from RefSeq and is a predicted model, not a curated record. NCBI's taxonomy places the organism in Eukaryota, Metazoa, Chordata, Amphibia, Anura, Myobatrachidae. The transcript has 3 exons.
GGAGCCCAAGUGAGUAUUACACACGGACAGCACAGCAAACCAGGCAUUCUGAUAGCGUCUAGUUUCCCUUCGUGAAAAGGACUUUUCCCACAACCUCAUCUCAUCCCCUUGUUUCCUAUGCAGACAAGUUUAGAACAUGAGACACCUUGGCUAUCAGUUUCACUAUCCGCAUGGACAUCUAAUGGGAACAGUAACCUGCUCUAAGCAUGGCCUGAUGAAGGGACAUUCCCGAAACGCGUAGCAGCAGGAGAGUGGAGUAUCCAUUGAAUUAUCAACAGGUGUAAGGCUGACCAGACGAUUGGGACGUGGACGAGGGAACCCGGUUCCGGAGCCAGUUACCCUAAGGUUACAUCUGAUACGCUCACUGAUCACUUUCAUCUGGUAAUCCUCCACCUUUAUUACCCCACAUUUGGGUGAAAAAUAAGUGUUUUUAGGAAUUUUAUCUGCAUUUUAUGUGCACCUUUUUUUAUGUAUGAAU